This 67-nucleotide transfer RNA is filed under the name Podura aquatica (water springtail). Its description in RNAcentral is "tRNA-Asn". Lineage: Eukaryota; Metazoa; Arthropoda; Collembola; Poduromorpha; Poduridae. The record is from RNAcentral.
UUGACGGAAUCUAAUCAGUUAGAAUGCCCCUGUUAAGGGUAGAUUGAAGACCACACUUCCCCUCAAA